Agrilus planipennis (emerald ash borer) is the source of this 257-nucleotide long non-coding RNA. RefSeq lists it as uncharacterized. The record is from RefSeq and is a predicted model, not a curated record. The transcript is spliced from 3 exons. Lineage: Eukaryota; Metazoa; Arthropoda; Insecta; Coleoptera; Buprestidae.
CAAACAGGCUGAAAGUAGUAAAAGAUUGUCUUUUCAGGAUUUAAUGGCUUUAUCAAAGGUCCACAACAGGUCUAAAGUAUUUUAUAAUCGUGAAUUUUAUGGAUUGCCUAUACCAGCAGACUCGAUAAAUAAAAAUAAUUAUAAAAUGCGAAACAUACACAACUUAAAGUAUGGAACUUCUGUAAGUCCCAUGGUUGAUAUAACAAAUAUGCAGACACAAAUUUCUAGCCUUGAUACUAAAAAGCAGAUAAAGUUGC